RNAcentral lists this ribosomal RNA (253 nucleotides) under uncultured bacterium. RNAcentral's name for it is "partial 16S ribosomal RNA". It matches the Rfam family "Bacterial small subunit ribosomal RNA", at positions 524 to 776 of the family's 1533-position model. The record is from RNAcentral.
UACGUAGGGGGCAAGCGUUGUCCGGAAUCAUUGGGCGUAAAGCGCGUGUAGGCGGUUUCGUAAGUCUGCUGUGAAAGUCGGAGGCUCAACCUUCGAAAGCCGGUGGAUACUGUGAGACUUGAGUACGGAAGAGGAGAGUGGAAUUCCUGGUGUAGCGGUGAAAUGCGCAGAUAUCAGGAGGAACACCAACGGCGAAGGCAGCUCUCUGGGACGUUACUGACGCUGAGACGCGAAAGCGUGGGGAGCGAACAGG